UCUUUUUUUUUUUUUUUUCUCUUUAAGGGAGCGGGUGAGCAAAAUGCUACACCUAAAAAUUAACUAUUCAACAAGGAAUGGAUGAAAUUUUUUUACGAUAAAUUAUAUUAUUUUCCAAAUAUUUCAUAUGUUAAACGAUCAAUUAAAUAGCUCAUCCUAGCCUAUCGUCUGCAAAAGAAUACUUGACCAUGGCCAGACAAAAUGAAACUCACAAUAACACCUAAAAUUCUGCAUUCUGUCAGCUAGUAUCAAGAUUUGCACAUACUUUUUCACCUUGUUCAG
This 282-nucleotide unclassified non-coding RNA is filed under the name Hevea brasiliensis (rubber tree). Lineage: Eukaryota; Viridiplantae; Streptophyta; Magnoliopsida; Malpighiales; Euphorbiaceae. The record is from RNAcentral.